Molecule: ribosomal RNA, 1167 nt
Filed under: Salmonella enterica
Lineage: Bacteria; Pseudomonadati; Pseudomonadota; Gammaproteobacteria; Enterobacterales; Enterobacteriaceae
Also listed under: 1 other name
Description: partial 23S ribosomal RNA
Rfam family: Bacterial large subunit ribosomal RNA
Source: RNAcentral
UGUGAGCUCGAUGAGUAGGGCGGGACACGUGGUAUCCUGUCUGAAUAUGGGGGGACCAUCCUCCAAGGCUAAAUACUCCUGACUGACCGAUAGUGAACCAGUACCGUGAGGGAAAGGCGAAAAGAACCCCGGCGAGGGGAGUGAAAAAGAACCUGAAACCGUGUACGUACAAGCAGUGGGAGCACCCUUUGGGGUGUGACUGCGUACCUUUUGUAUAAUGGGUCAGCGACUUAUAUUCUGUAGCAAGGUUAACCGGAUAGGGGAGCCGGAGGGAAACCGAGUCUUAAUUGGGCGUUAAGUUGCAGGGUAUAGACCCGAAACCCGGUGAUCUAGCCAUGGGCAGGUUGAAGGUUGGGUAACACUAACUGGAGGACCGAACCGACUAAUGUUGAAAAAUUAGCGGAUGACCUGUGGCUGGGGGUGAAAGGCCAAUCAAACCGGGAGAUAGCUGGUUCUCCCCGAAAGCUAUUUAGGUAGCGCCUCGUGAAUUCAUCUCCGGGGGUAGAGCACUGUUUCGGCUAGGGGGCCAUCCCGGCUUACCAACCCGAUGCAAACUGCGAAUACCGGAGAAUGUUAUCAUGGGAGACACACGGCGGGUGCUAACGUCCGUCGUGAAGAGGGAAACAACCCAGACCGCCAGCUAAGGUCCCAAAGUCAUGGUUAAGUGGGAAACGAUGUGGGAAGGCCCAGACAGCCAGGAUGUUGGCUUAGAAGCAGCCAUCAUUUAAAGAAAGCGUAAUAGCUCACUGGUCGAGUCGGCCUGCGCGGAAGAUGUAACGGGGCUAAACCAUGCACCGAAGCUGCGGCAGCGACGCUGAUGCGUUGUUGGGUAGGGGAGCGUUCUGUAAGCCUGCGAAGGUGGCCUGUGAGGGUUGCUGGAGGUAUCAGAAGUGCGAAUGCUGACAUAAGUAACGAUAAAGCGGGUGAAAAGCCCGCUCGCCGGAAGACCAAGGGUUCCUGUCCAACGUUAAUCGGGGCAGGGUGAGUCGACCCCUAAGGCGAGGCCGAAAGGCGUAGUCGAUGGGAAACGGGUUAAUAUUCCCGUACUUGGUGUUACUGCGAAGGGGGGACGGAGAAGGCUAUGUUGGCCGGGCGACGGUUGUCCCGGUUUAAGCGUGUAGGUGUGUGUUCCAGGUAAAUCCGGUUCACUUUAACACUGAGGCGUGA